Molecule: ribosomal RNA, 460 nt
Filed under: uncultured bacterium
Lineage: Bacteria
Description: partial 16S ribosomal RNA
Rfam family: Bacterial small subunit ribosomal RNA
Source: RNAcentral
CCUACGUGGGGCAGCAGUGAGGAAUAUUGGUCAAUGGGCGCGAGCCUGAACCAGCCAAGUAGCGUGAAGGAUGACUGCCCUACGGGUUGUAAACUUCUUUUAUAAAGGAAUAAAGUGAGGCACGUGUGCCUUUUUGUAUGUACUUUAUGAAUAAGGAUCGGCUAACUCCGUGCCAGCAGCCGCGGUAAUACGGAGGAUCAGAGCGUUAUGCGGAUUUAUUGGGUUUAAAGGGAGCGUAGAUGGGUUGUUAAGUCAGUUGUGAAAGUUUGCGGCUCAACCGUAAAAUUGCAAUUGAUACUGGCAGUCUUGAGUACAGUUGAGGUAGGCGGAAUUCGUGGUGUAGCGGUGAAAUGCUUAGAUAUCACGAAGAACUCCGAUUGUGAAGGCAGCUUACUAAACUGCCACUGACAUUGAUGCUCGAAAGUGUGGGUAUCAAACAGGAUUAGAUACCCCGGUAGUC